RNAcentral lists this transfer RNA (66 nucleotides) under Hemicaecilius mockfordi. Its description in RNAcentral is "tRNA-Trp". RNAcentral also lists the same sequence under 1 other name. The record is from RNAcentral. Lineage: Eukaryota; Metazoa; Arthropoda; Insecta; Psocodea; Sphaeropsocidae.
AAGGUUUUAAGUUAAUAGCUAAACUAAUAACCUUCAAAGUUAAAAAUAAAUUAAAUUUAAACCUUA